RNAcentral lists this unclassified non-coding RNA (335 nucleotides) under soil metagenome. RNAcentral describes it as "partial contains 5.8S ribosomal RNA, internal transcribed spacer 2, and large subunit ribosomal RNA". The stretch from base 1 to 120 matches the Rfam family "5.8S ribosomal RNA", at positions 35 to 154 of the family's 154-position model. The record is from RNAcentral.
GAUGAAGAACGCAGCGAAAUGCGAUAAGUAAUGUGAAUUGCAGAAUUCAGUGAAUCAUCGAAUCUUUGAACGCACAUUGCGCCCGCCAGUAUUCUGGCGGGCAUGCCUGUUCGAGCGUCAUUUCAACCAUCAAGCCCCAGGCUUGUGUUGGGGACCUGCGGCUGCCGCAGGCCCUGAAAACCAGUGGCGGGCUCGCUGUCACACCGGGCGUAGUAGAUUUUAUCUCGCUCAGGGCGUGCUGCGGGUCCCGGCCGUUAAAAGCCUUUUUUUACCCAAGGUUGACCUCGGAUCAGGUAGGAAGACCCGCUGAACUUAAGCAUAUCAAUAAGCGGAGA